Molecule: ribosomal RNA, 447 nt
Filed under: uncultured bacterium
Lineage: Bacteria
Description: bacterial SSU rRNA
Rfam family: Bacterial small subunit ribosomal RNA
Source: RNAcentral
GCCAGACUCCUACGGGAGGCAGCAGUGGGGAAUAUUGCACAAUGGGGGGAACCCUGAUGCAGCGACGCCGCGUGGGUGAAGGAGUAUUUCGGUAUGUAAAGCCCUAUCAGCAGGGAAGAACAAUGACGGUACCUGACUAAGAAGCACCGGCUAAAUACGUGCCAGCAGCCGCGGUAAUACGUAUGGUGCAAGCGUUAUCCGGAUUUACUGGGUGUAAAGGGAGCGCAGGCGGCACGGCAAGUCCGGUGUGAAAGCCCGGGGCCCAACCCCGGGACUGCACUGGAAACUGCCGGGCUGGAGUGUCGGAGGGGCAGGCGGAAUUCCUAGUGUAGCGGUGAAAUGCGUAGAUAUUAGGAGGAACACCGGUGGCGAAGGCGGCCUGCUGGACGACGACUGACGCUGAGGCUCGAAAGCGUGGGGAGCAAACAGGAUUAGAUACCCUUGUAA